GACGAACGCUGGCGGCGUGCCUAACACAUGCAAGUCGAACGGAGAUACGAUUUCGGUUGUAUCUUAGUGGCGAACGGGUGAGUAACGCGUGAGCAACCUGACUCUUAGAGGGGGAUAACACUGGGAAACGAGUGCUAAUACCGCAUAAGACCACGACAUGGCAUCAUGACGAGGUCAAAGGAGCAAUCCGCUGAGAGAGGGGCUCGCGUCCCAUUAGAUAGAUGGCGGGGUAACGGCCCACCAUGUCAACGAUGGGUAGCCGAGCUGAGAGGCUGAUCGGCCACACUGGAACUGAGACACGGUCCAGACUCCUACGGGAGGCAGCAGUGGGGAAUAUUGGGCAAUGGGCGCAAGCCUGACCCAGCAACGCCGCGUGAGGGAAGAAGGCUUUCGGGUUGUAAACCCCUGUCCUUGGUGACGAAAAAAAUGACGGUAGCCAAGGAGGAAGCCCCGGCUAACUACGUGCCAGCCGCCGCGGUAA
Molecule: ribosomal RNA, 481 nt
Filed under: uncultured bacterium
Lineage: Bacteria
Description: partial 16S ribosomal RNA
Rfam family: Bacterial small subunit ribosomal RNA
Source: RNAcentral